Molecule: non-coding RNA, 2152 nt
Organism: Nelumbo nucifera (sacred lotus)
Lineage: Eukaryota; Viridiplantae; Streptophyta; Magnoliopsida; Proteales; Nelumbonaceae
Source: RefSeq, a predicted model, not a curated record
AUUGGGUGUCCCUUGGAAUGCAAAUAUUUUGAGGAUCGAAUUGGUGAAAAAUAAGUUCUCCUAAUUUCCUAAGAUUAGGGUGGUUGAUUUGCGUCAGACACGGCUAUUUGGUGGUCUAUGUCUUUGGGAGGUUUUCAUCGAAGUAAGUUUGUGGGCAGGACAACCAUUCAGCGUAGUUGUCACUCUUUCAGGAUUGGCGGUGAGAAACGGGUACCUACGUAUUUGGGGUUCGAGGACUUUGUGGUGAACGUUCUUUAGGCGAUUGCAGAGGAUUUAUUGGUAUUUAAGUUUUUAUCGAGGCUUAUGUGUGAUUUCUCCUGAUUUUGUUCAUUUUCUGACAGCGUUGGAACUUUACGUUGGUUUUGUUGUUCCUCAGUAUGAUUGGGGUUUCCUUAGAUGGCAUUUAUUGAGUGGUUUUAUUUCACACGGAACAAAUUUUGUAUUCUUAUGGUUUUCUGUUCUUGAUUUGCUUACCUUUACUUUUCCUUUCUUUUCCCUUUCUAUACAGGAUUUAGACGAUCUAUUUGAGCUGUCAUGGCCAUCCCGAUGUCCUUGUCAACGGGGGGUUAUAUUAAAAUUUAAGUUUACAAGCUUGUACGAUCAUUGGGAAUCUGUAUAUUACAGGGUCUUAGUCUUAGUUAUAAUGUUUGCUUUUAGGUUUGCGGUGUGAAUCCGAUAGCGUGGUUGCGAGAACUGGAUGGAGGAAGCUUCAAUGUUCGUUGGCUUUUAGAUAUUUAGUGGAACUAUGAGACGAACAAUAAGUUCUUCUGGUAUCUUGUCUUUUAUUUUCCCAAAUGUCUUUUAUCUUUCCUUCUUUUUCUUCAACACACAUUGCAAAAGUGUUAUGAUUCUACAGGAUCAGGGAGGUUGAUUCUAGUUGGAGGUGGCUACUCAUAUGUAUAUGUCAUAAGUGCUUUUUUAUGGUCAUGAAUAUUUCACAUGCAUUGCAAUCUUGUUUUCAAUAUACAAGAUUAAAAGGUGAAUUCGAUCAUGAGCACAUCACAAGUGGGGGGCUGGGGUGUAUAAUACCAAUUCAAAUUUAAGUUUAAAAGCAUGAUAGGCAUGUAACAUAUAUAAUAUCCUAAUCUAGCUAACAUUCAUUUUAGGCUGGCGGUGCGACUCCAGUACUAGGGCGGCCGAGAAUGUGUGGAGGUUUGAAGGAUUUGGACGGAUGAUUCAAGUCGGACGAGGCUAUUUGCGUUCCUCUCUCCUAGUUAUGAUUCAUUUUAGGUUGAGGGUUUGAAAUGGAAACUUGGGUUAUUGAGGCUUGAGGCAGGUCUCGCGAUUUUGAAACACUACAUUCAUUUUGUUUUGCAUAGGGUUUUUCAUAUUUAAAUUAGUGUUUUAAGGUUUUGAUUACACAGUUUAUUGGAGUGGAAUUAAUGAUCUUUGCUGUAUCAUUGUCAAAACUUAGUUUUCAUUUCUUUGUUUUAUAUGUUUUGAAAUGAAUGCUGAAUUUUUGGAUGGUUUUCUUGUUUUUCAAGAAGAUACAAUGUUCCUUAGBUUGAAUAUAUUCGGUGGUUUUAAUGAUGAAUAAUUUCUUCCAAAUUCCUAACUUUUUUACUCCAAAAUGACUUGUCUUUUUUGUUUUCCCUCUUAUUUUAUUCAUUACAUACAUUCAAAUGUGUUAUGAAUCGGUACAGGAUUCGCAACGCAGAGUUCAAUUGUAUAUGACUUUUCAAAUGUCCAUCUCAUGRGGGAAUUUUACGGUUAUGCAUAUUCUAAUUAAAAGUUAAUUGCUUCUGUCACCAGGGUUUUUUUUUAUGGUUAUUCAUAUUUCAAUUAAAAAUUAUAAGCAUGAAUAUAGGAUCUUAGUCUACUAAAUAUUCCAUGUAGGGUGGCAGUGUGAAUUCGAUGGCAAGGAUGUUUAGGUUUGGCGAGGGUUUAAAGAUUAUCUGAAGCUAGUUUCCUUUUGUUAAUUACAACUAGUCUAUAUAUCUUUAAAUCCAUUGUCAGGGAGAUUGGGUGUCUUUUGGAAUGCAAAUAUUUUGAAGAUCGAAUUGGUGAAAAAUAAGUUCUCCUAAUUUCCUAAGAUUGGAAGGUCAAUUUCGGCAGGACCUGCUWUUUAGAAGUCUCAAUGAUAAUGGGGUUAUCAUGUUUAUCCAUAUUCUGAAUUAGGUUUAUGAUCAUGGCAAAAAUUGAGAAGAUAGGA